RNAcentral lists this ribosomal RNA (247 nucleotides) under uncultured Bdellovibrio sp. RNAcentral describes it as "partial 16S ribosomal RNA". It matches the Rfam family "Bacterial small subunit ribosomal RNA", at positions 210 to 456 of the family's 1533-position model. The record is from RNAcentral. Lineage: Bacteria; Pseudomonadati; Bdellovibrionota; Bdellovibrionia; Bdellovibrionales; Pseudobdellovibrionaceae.
GUUUUUCGCUCUAAGAUGAGCUCGCGUGAGAUUAGCUAGUUGGUGAGGUGAUGGCUCACCAAGGCGACGAUCUCUAACAGGUCUGAGAGGAUGAUCUGUCACACUGGAACUGAGACACGGUCCAGACUCCUACGGGAGGCAGCAGUAGGGAAUAUUGCACAAUGGAGGAAACUCCGAUGCAGCGACGCCGCGUGAGUGAUGAAGGACUUCGGUUCGUAAAGCUCUGUCGUAUGGGAAUAAGAAAGUG